UUUACCAUCACUAUUCACUAUUUUCUGUUUACCGAAGGAAACAAUCUAAAUACAUUAUUCCUGCUUUGUAAAACAAUUAUACAACACAAAUGAUACUUAAACCCUUGUGCAGCACCAUGUUUUCUUGAGAACAGGGCACAGUGGUGUAUACUAACCUGAGAAUGGUGCCCAGUGUUUUAUUCAGAUGUCAUGUGAGCCACUCUGCGUGGUUCUUGGGUCCUGUGCCACUCAAUUAAGGAAAAUCCUGGAUGCGCCCCUGAAAAAGCCCCACUCUUUUCUCAGACAGCGCAGACAGCAAGGAUUUUGGUCCUCCCCGCAAUCGCCGUUGUUUUGAAUUACAUUUAAGGUAAAGCCAUGUGUGUUUUCUUCGGUUACACGAUUUAAAAGGCUGAAGAAAAAGCUGCAUCCUUAAUUCAUUCUUAUGUGUGAAAGGUUUUAUUCCCACCCUGCCCCCCUCUCGCUCUCUGUCGCUGGUUAGUGGUUCAGCCAUUUUCAGCCCGCCUCCUCCUUUCUUUCUUUGCUAGACUCACAAGAGAAUCAUCGGUCCUGUUUUAUUCUAACAAUUUUGGGCUGUGGACUUCUUUCUCCCGGAAGUUGGAAUGUGUAAAUAUUAUGAUUAGUGGACAGCAAUGAUUAGCGGAUGGAUGGAGCUGCUUCCUUUUGUGGCAGUUUCUGCCACAACAUACUGUCCAUGUGACUCUGCGCUACUACGUGUCCUUCUCGUGACGUUGUCUCUUCUAUGUGCUGAUGUAGAAGGAGUAUACAAGCUUAAGGCAAGUCAAGUCGUCGACAGUCUCCGGCAGAAAAGGAGUCAUCAUGGGAAACUCCCGGCAGCUAUCCUAGCAUAACUAAGGGUGGAUUCCAGUGCCAGCUAAAUUAUAUGUCUGUCUCAGUAGAAUCCAAGGUGGAGCUGACAGUGGCGCCAUGUGGGUGGAAAAAUUGACGAUUCUAAGGGAUCAUGGCUGAUCCUUAAGGGCCAUAGACAACAGUAGUUUUACUUAGUUUUGUUUGAAAUAAUGAUUAACCUAUCACCAAAAUGUUUCCUUCAAAGGGUACUAAUAAACUUUUUUCCUUCCUAGCAUUAGUUUUAUUUGUCUGCAGCAACAUAGAGCAAAAUCCAGUCAGCCUCUGAACCCGCCUCCCCCCUUCUUUCCGUAUUUCAUGAUUUGAUUUGGUCCAGAUGGCAGCGCUCUCGGCUGAGCGAAGAGGAAAGAAGGUCCUGAUCCUGUACCUCAUUAAUUUGGAAGAUUAAGUCAGUAAAGUAAAAUGUUUUGACCUGAGUGAUCUGAUGUCUGGACGUCUGAACAGAAAGACACCCCUUGCACUUUACACCAUUUUGUUUAAGGUCUGUGCAGCCUGUCUGAGCUUAACUGGAGAGAAGAAGCAAAGAAGGGUUUAAAGUGGGAUGUAGCAGGCCCUAACCCAUUAGUGACCAUGGAUACCACGGCCUGCCCUGCACCAUGGCAACAUCCAUCACUGCAAACAUUACCACGACACUGCCAGCGACACAGUAUAGCCUGCAUUUACUGA
Molecule: long non-coding RNA, 1530 nt
Organism: Oreochromis aureus
Lineage: Eukaryota; Metazoa; Chordata; Actinopteri; Cichliformes; Cichlidae
Exons: 4
Source: RefSeq, a predicted model, not a curated record